UCCAACAUCGCAACUCAAAGUGAACAGUCAACGACUCAGUAUCCUGAACUAAAAGACAACUAUUUUUCUGCGUAUUUGAAAGCUCCCCGUUUUGCCAUGUCCUGGUACUACACCCCUCACCCAACUGUAUUUGCUGUGGAAGAGUUUGACGCUUCGGCCGAUGCGGCAGCCUUGCGGAAGGCCAUGAAGGAUUCUCUCUGUGCUCACAGCAACCAGCAGCGGCAAGACAUCUCGGAGGCGUUUACUCGCGACCUAUACCGGGAAUGUUAGACGGUUUUGAAGAAUCAGAUGCUUUAUUACAAUAUGGUAUUUCACCAUGCAGUUCCGAUUUUGUUUGCUGUGGCAGUGACGAAGGAAAGGGCUAUAAAACUACAUCAUUGGAACUAGAAACCAGAAAACUCAGGAUACAUGUAUGGGUAUAUCAGUUAGAAGUAUAAAU
Long non-coding RNA from Uranotaenia lowii, 439 nucleotides. RefSeq lists it as uncharacterized. The record is from RefSeq and is a predicted model, not a curated record. The transcript has 3 exons. NCBI's taxonomy places the organism in Eukaryota, Metazoa, Arthropoda, Insecta, Diptera, Culicidae.